Molecule: ribosomal RNA, 66 nt
Filed under: Burkholderia cenocepacia
Lineage: Bacteria; Pseudomonadati; Pseudomonadota; Betaproteobacteria; Burkholderiales; Burkholderiaceae
Also listed under: 5 other names
Description: partial 16S ribosomal RNA
Rfam family: Bacterial small subunit ribosomal RNA
Source: RNAcentral
UGACUGGGGUGAAGUCGUAACAAGGUAGCCGUAUCGGAAGGUGCGGCUGGAUCACCUCCUUUCCAG